This 583-nucleotide ribosomal RNA is filed under the name Subulicystidium brachysporum. Its description in RNAcentral is "LSU rRNA". It matches the Rfam family "Eukaryotic large subunit ribosomal RNA", at positions 54 to 650 of the family's 3401-position model. The record is from RNAcentral. Lineage: Eukaryota; Fungi; Basidiomycota; Agaricomycetes; Trechisporales; Hydnodontaceae.
AGGAAAAGAAACUAACAAGGAUUCCCCUAGUAACUGCGAGUGAAGCGGGAAGAGCUCAAAUUUGAAAUCUGGCGGUUCCGCCGCCCGAGUUGUAAUCUGGAGAAGCGUUUUCCGUGCCGGACCGUGUACAAGUCCCUUGGAACAGGGCGUCAUAGAGGGUGAGAAUCCCGUCUUUGACACGGACUCCCGGUGCUCUGCGAUGCGCUCUCGAAGAGUCGAGUUGUUUGGGAAUGCAGCUCAAAAYGGGUGGUAAAUUCCAUCUAAAGCUAAAUAUUGGCGAGAGACCGAUAGCGAACAAGUACCGUGAGGGAAAGAUGAAAAGCACUUUGGAAAGAGAGUAAAACAGUACGUGAAAUUGUUGAAAGGGAAACGCUUGAAGUCAGUCGCGUCUUCUGGGACUCAGCCUUGCUUCUGCUCGGCGCACUUCCCAGUUUGACGGGUCAGCAUCGGCUCUGGGGGGCGGACAAAGGCGUGGGGAAGGUGGCAGCUCCGGCUGUGUUAUAGCCCCGCGCUACGCGUCCCCCGGGACCGAGGAAUCCGGCGCUCGCGCCUGGGAUGCUGGCGUAAUGGCUUUAAACGACCC